GAUGAACGCUAGCGGGAGGCCUAACACAUGCAAGCCGAGCGGUAGAGUUUCUGAAACUUGAGAGCGGCGCACGGGUGCGUAACACGUGUGCAACCUACCUUUAUCUGGUGGAUAGCCUUUCGAAAGGAAGAUUAAUACCCCAUAAUAUAAUGAUUGGCAUCAAUUAUUAUUGAAAACUCCGGUGGAUAGAGAUGGGCACGCGCAAGAUUAGAUAGUUGGUGAGGUAACGGCUCACCAAGUCAAUGAUCUUUAGGGGUCCUGAGAGGGAGAUCCCCCACACUGGUACUGAGACACGGACCAGACUCCUACGGGAGGCAGCAGUGAGGAAUAUAGGACAAUGGGUGAGAGCCUGAUCCAGCCAUCCCGCGUGAAGGAUGACGGUCCUAUGGAUUGUAAACUUCUUUUGUACAAGGAUAAACCUACCCUCGUGAGGGUAGCUGAAGGUACUGUACGAAUAAGCACCGGCUAACUCCGUG
Molecule: ribosomal RNA, 476 nt
Filed under: uncultured bacterium
Lineage: Bacteria
Description: partial 16S ribosomal RNA
Rfam family: Bacterial small subunit ribosomal RNA
Source: RNAcentral